RNAcentral lists this ribosomal RNA (842 nucleotides) under uncultured bacterium. RNAcentral describes it as "bacterial SSU rRNA". It matches the Rfam family "Bacterial small subunit ribosomal RNA", at positions 62 to 904 of the family's 1533-position model. The record is from RNAcentral.
UCGACGCGGGCACUUGUGCCCGAGUGGCGAACGGGUGAGUAAUACAUAAGUAACCUGGCCUUUACAGGGGGAUAACUGCUGGAAACGGCAGCUAAGACCGCAUAGGUAGGGACACUGCAUGGUGACCGUAUUAAAAGUGCUGCAAGGCACUGGUAGAGGAUGGACUUAUGGCGCAUUAGCUGGUUGGUGAGGUAACGGCUCACCAAGGCGACGAUGCGUAGCCGACCUGAGAGGGUGACCGGCCACACUGGGACUGAGACACGGCCCAGACUCCUACGGGAGGCAGCAGUAGGGAAUUUUCGGCAAUGGGGGGGACCCUGACCGAGCAACGCCGCGUGAAGGAAGAAGGAAUUCGUUCUGUAAACUUCUGUUAUAAAGGAAGAAAGACGGAUGGAGGAAAUGACAUCCGAGUGACGGUACUUUAUGAGAAAGCCACGGCUAACUACGUGCCAGCAGCCGCGGUAAUACGUAGGUGGCAAGCGUUAUCCGGAAUUAUUGGGCGUAAAGAGGGAGCAGGCGGCAGCAAAGGUCUGUGGUGAAAGACUGAAGCUUAACUUCAGUAAGCCAUAGAAACCGGGCAGCUAGAGUGCAGGAGAGGAUCGUGGAAUUCCAUGUGUAGCGGUGAAAUGCGUAGAUAUAUGGAGGAACACCAGUGGCGAAGGCGACGAUCUGGCCUGCAACUGACGCUCAGUCCCGAAAGCGUGGGGAGCAAAUAGGAUUAGAUACCCUAGUAGUCCACGCCGUAAACGAUGAGUACUAAGUGUUGGAAGUCAAAUUUCAGUGCUGCAGUUAACGCAGUAAGUACUCCGCCUGAGUAGUACGUUCGCAAGAAUGAAACUCAA